Molecule: transfer-messenger RNA, 371 nt
Filed under: Alphaproteobacteria bacterium
Lineage: Bacteria; Pseudomonadati; Pseudomonadota; Alphaproteobacteria
Rfam family: Alphaproteobacteria transfer-messenger RNA
About the family: Bacterial tmRNA, also known as 10Sa RNA or SsrA, is named for its dual tRNA and mRNA-like properties. Its role is to liberate the mRNA from a stalled ribosome.
Source: RNAcentral
CUCCUUCAAUUAUUUGUCCCCAGGGCCUAUAUUGUGCCUGUCCGGCUUGUCCGGACUAUGGCGAUAAACGGCCACGUAAUAAGCGGACCGGACCCGGGGGCGGUACCCGGCGCCUCCACCAGAAUACGGAGGACAGAACACAGGUAUCGGAGGCUUGGCAUUUUUCUGAUCCCUGUAUUCUGUAUUCCGUCCUCCGGCGGGGGCGAAACAGGAUCGACGGACGUGUAAAGGUGGUUCUUUCACCCGGUAUGGUAUCCGCCGUUAUCGGGCUGUUCGUAUAGGUGCCAACGACAAUGAAAUGGCCCUCGCUGCUUAAUUAAAACCUAAGCAAGCGCGGCUCGAGGGGCGCCGGGCAACAGAAGCCCCUCACC